Anarrhichthys ocellatus (wolf-eel) is the source of this 946-nucleotide long non-coding RNA. RefSeq lists it as uncharacterized. The transcript is spliced from 3 exons. The record is from RefSeq and is a predicted model, not a curated record. Lineage: Eukaryota; Metazoa; Chordata; Actinopteri; Perciformes; Anarhichadidae.
UCUACACGAUUCACGUGGAUGAUAUAUUUUGAUUCAAAACGGCAAAAUUUCGCCGAAAAGCGACAAAUUUGCAGGUAUGUAAGUAUCAAGCCAGACCUUUUCUUAUUAGAGUAUGUCUGACUACUGUGUGGACGUAGAUUGCUUUCAUUUUAAAACCUGUUUUAAAUGGAAGCAUAGCAGUGUGGAUGCAGCUUCAGUCUCUCCUGAAAUGCAAAUUUGCAACACUCAUUAUAAACACCUAAUAGCUGUUUAUUAAGUUAUAAUUGAUAAGUUCAACAGUAUCAGAUUAUGCAACUAGUAGAAGCUCCUGCUGUACAUGAAUACAGGUUGCUCUAUAUACUGUCCUCUGGUCUAUAGCAACACCUGAAGGCCAGAGACGAAACUGCAGACUGAGAUGAACUCACCUGUACCACCAGAUCGCCUAGGAAACAGCAACAGGAAGGAAACUUGAGUCUUCUGACCACUCAAAGCUCUUUAACAUGACAUCAUUCACCUAUUCACACCCUGAUGGGAGGAGCUACCUUGGAUGUUUUGUCCAAGGACACAUCGACAUGGACCAGCAGAGCCGGGGAUUGAACCGCCGAUCCUCUGAUUGAAGGAUGACCCUGCUCUCCCACUGACCCAACGUCGCCUAAUAAGGUUAGCUAGCAAAGCCUCAGAUGUCCGUGUCCGCUCUGCAUCGCCAACACAUCCCAGGUUGCCAAAAUGACCUGGCCCAGCUCCGGCGUAAGCUCGGCAUGCCGGAAGAAACACGUCGGGCAGAGUCCGGUUGCCGACUCCGCUGAGACUUGGGAUGAAUUAUGCGCCAGAAUCAGGCCAAAUACAACGGACUGAUUCCGGCUGCCGACACUGCUAUUAUUGGGAUUGCAGUGACGCUGCUGCUCGCACACAUCCACGAACGUACGUAAAUUGAGAUAAAAAACAGCAGCAGCCGCCUUCAAAAUAA